UCCCAGAUGGCUCAGAGGAUAGAGAACCUGCCUGCAGUGCAGGAGACACCAGAGAUACAGGUUCAGUUCCUGGGUUGGGAA
This 81-nucleotide transfer RNA is filed under the name Ovis aries (sheep). It matches the Rfam family "tRNA". From Rfam's summary of the family: Transfer RNA (tRNA) molecules are approximately 80 nucleotides in length. Their secondary structure includes four short double-helical elements and three loops (D, anti-codon, and T loops). Lineage: Eukaryota; Metazoa; Chordata; Mammalia; Artiodactyla; Bovidae. The record is from Rfam by way of RNAcentral.